UAUUAGAGCGUCGUAAUGACUCUCGGCAACGGAUAUCUCGGCUCUCGCAUCGAUGAAGAACGUAGCGAAAUGCGAUACUUGGUGUGAAUUGCAGAAUCCCGUGAACCAUCGAGUCUUUGAACGCAAGUUGCGCCCGAAGCCUUUCGGCCGAGGGCACGUCUGCCUGGGCGUCACGC
Molecule: ribosomal RNA, 176 nt
Filed under: Boehmeria clidemioides
Lineage: Eukaryota; Viridiplantae; Streptophyta; Magnoliopsida; Rosales; Urticaceae
Also listed under: 1 other name
Description: 5.8S ribosomal RNA
Rfam family: 5.8S ribosomal RNA (bases 18-173)
About the family: 5.8S ribosomal RNA (5.8S rRNA) is a component of the large subunit of the eukaryotic ribosome. It is transcribed by RNA polymerase I as part of the 45S precursor that also contains 18S and 28S rRNA. Functionally, it is thought that 5.8S rRNA may be involved in ribosome translocation.
Source: RNAcentral